This 497-nucleotide ribosomal RNA is filed under the name uncultured bacterium. Its description in RNAcentral is "partial 16S ribosomal RNA". It matches the Rfam family "Bacterial small subunit ribosomal RNA", at positions 28 to 507 of the family's 1533-position model. The record is from RNAcentral.
GAUGAACGCUGGCGGCGUGCCUAAUACAUGCAAGUCGAGCGAACAGACGAGGAGCUUGCUCCUCUGACGUUAGCGGCGGACGGGUGAGUAACACGUGGAUAACCUACCUUUAAGACUGGGAUAACUUCGGGAAACCGGAGCUAAUACCGGAUAAUAUAUUGAACCGCAUGGUUCAAUAUUGAAAGACGGUUUUGCUGUCACUUAUAGAUGGAUUCGCGCCGCAUUAGCUAGUUGGUAAGGUAACGGCUUACCAAGGCAACGAUGCGUAGCCGACCUGAGAGGGUGAUCGGCCACACUGGAACUGAGACACGGUCCAGACUCCUACGGGAGGCAGCAGUAGGGAAUCUUCCGCAAUGGGCGAAAGCCUGACGGAGCAACGCCGCGUGAGUGAUGAAGGUCUUCGGAUCGUAAAACUCUGUUAUUAGGGAAGAACAAAUGUGUAAGUAACUAUGCACGUCUUGACGGUACCUAAUCAGAAAGCCACGGCUAACUACGUG